RNAcentral lists this ribosomal RNA (465 nucleotides) under Vreelandella stevensii. RNAcentral's name for it is "partial 16S ribosomal RNA". It matches the Rfam family "Bacterial small subunit ribosomal RNA", at positions 338 to 795 of the family's 1533-position model. Lineage: Bacteria; Pseudomonadati; Pseudomonadota; Gammaproteobacteria; Oceanospirillales; Halomonadaceae. The record is from RNAcentral.
CCUACGGUGGGCUGCAGUGGGGAAUAUUGGACAAUGGGCGAAAGCCUGAUCCAGCCAUGCCGCGUGUGUGAAGAAGGCCUUCGGGUUGUAAAGCACUUUCAGUGGGGAAGAAAGCCUUGGGGCUAAUACCCUCGAGGAAGGACAUCACCCACAGAAGAAGCACCGGCUAACUCCGUGCCAGCAGCCGCGGUAAUACGGAGGGUGCGAGCGUUAAUCGGAAUUACUGGGCGUAAAGCGCGCGUAGGCGGUCUGAUAAGCCGGUUGUGAAAGCCCCGGGCUCAACCUGGGAACGGCAUCCGGAACUGUCAGGCUAGAGUGCAGGAGAGGAAGGUAGAAUUCCCGGUGUAGCGGUGAAAUGCGUAGAGAUCGGGAGGAAUACCAGUGGCGAAGGCGGCCUUCUGGACUGACACUGACGCUGAGGUGCGAAAGCGUGGGUAGCAAACAGGAUUAGAUACCCUUGUAGUC